RNAcentral lists this antisense RNA (69 nucleotides) under Streptomyces sp. VN1. RNAcentral's name for it is "ASpks TB sRNA". It matches the Rfam family "ASpks TB sRNA". Lineage: Bacteria; Bacillati; Actinomycetota; Actinomycetes; Kitasatosporales; Streptomycetaceae. The record is from Rfam by way of RNAcentral.
CUUCACCGACCCCAGCCACAGCGGCUCGGGCCGCUGCUGCCCGUAGGUGGCGAUGAGGGCCUGGGCCUC